UAGAACCUGAAACCGUGUGCGUACAAGCAGUAGGAGCUCCGCAAGGAGUGACUGCGUACCUUUUGUAUAAUGGGUCAGCGAGUUAUUUUCAGUGGCGAGGCUAACCGAAUAGGGGAGCCGUAGGGAAACCGAGUCUUAAACGGGCGUCACAGUCGCUGGGAAUAGACCCGAAGCCAGUCGAUCUAUCCAUGUCCAGGAUGAAGGUCAGGUAACACUGACUGGAGGUCCGAACGAACCACUGUUGCAAUAGUGCGUCGAUGAGGUGUGGAUAGGAGUGAAAGGCUAAUCAAGGCUGGCGAUAGCUGGUUCUCCCCGAAAGCUAUUUAGGUAGUGCCUCGAGUCAAUACUCUGGGGGGUAGAGCACUGUUUGGAGAAGGGGACCAUCUCGGUCUACCAACUCCAUGCAAACUCCGAAUACCCAGAAGUAAUACUCGGGAGACACACAGCGGGUGCUAACGUCCGUUGUGAAAAGGGAAAUAACCCAGACCAUCAGCUAAGGUCCCAAAGUUUCGGCUAAGUGGUAAACGAUGUGAGAAGGCAUAGACAGCCAGGAGGUUGGCUUAGAAGCAGCCAUCCUUUAAAGAAAGCGUAAUAGCUCACUGGUCUAGUCGGCUCGCGCGGAAGAUUUAACGGGGCUAAGCCGAGCACCGAAGCUAUGGAUGUGGAUGCUCUUCGGAGCGUUCACGUGGUAGGGGAGCGUUCUCUAAGCCUGCGAAGGUGUGCUGUGAGGCAUGCUGGAGGUAUGAGAAGUGCGAAUGCUGACAUGAGUAACGUUAAAGCGGGUGAAAAACCCGCUCGCCGAAAGCCCAAGGUUUCCUGAGCCACGUUAAUCGGCUGAGGGUGAGUCGGAUCCUAAGGCGAGGCCGAAAGGCGUAGUCGAUGGAAAGCAGGUUAACAUUCCUGCACCGAUGGUUACUGCGAUGGGAUGACGGAGAAGGCUAGCUCAGCGGCAGCAGUGCCGUUCAAGGCCGUAGGGGUUCUCUCCUGGAAAAUCCGGAGAGAAGCUAUCCCCGAGAACCGAGUACGAGGAGGCUUCGGCCUUCGAAGUGAGUAAUGCCACGCUUCCGGGAAAAGUCUCUAAGCUUCAGGUAAUCGUUGUCCGUACCGUAAACCGACACUGGUGGGUGAGCAGAUAAUCUGCUAAGGCGCUUGAGAGAACUCGGGUUAAGGAACUCUGCAAAUUGAUACCGUAACUUCGGGAGAAGGUAUGCCUCCCGGUGUGAGGGGAUUUACUCCCUGAGCACUGAGAGGUCACAGGUAAUCGGGGGCUGCGACUGUUUAUCAAAAACACAGGACUCUGCGAACACGAAAGUGGAUGUAUAGGGUCUGACGCCUGCCCGGCGCCGGAAGGUUAAUUGAUGGGGUCAGCCGCAAGGCGAAGCUCCUGAUCGAAGCCCCGGUAAACGGCGGCCGUAACAAUAACGGUCCUAAGGUAGCGAAAUUCCUUGUCGGGUAAGUUCCGACCUGCACGAAUGGCGUAACGCUGGCCCCACUGUCUCGACCCGAGACUCAGUGAAGUUGAAAUCGCUGUGAAGAUGCGGCGUAGCUGCGGAAAGACGGAAAGACCCCGCGAACCUUUACUACAGCUUUACACUGAACUUUGACCUUGUCUGUGC
Molecule: ribosomal RNA, 1616 nt
Filed under: metagenome
Description: bacterial LSU rRNA
Rfam family: Bacterial large subunit ribosomal RNA
Source: RNAcentral